UACGUAUGUCGCAAGCGUUAUCCGGAUUUAUUGGGCGUAAAGCGAGUCUAGGCGGUUUAGUAAGUCUGAUGUAAAAAUGCGGGGCUCAACCCCGUAUUGCGUUGGAAACUGUUAAACUAGAGUGCUGGAGAGGAAGGCGGAACUACAAGUGUAGAGGUGAAAUUCGUAGAUAUUUGUAGGAAUACCGAUGGCGAAACCAGCCUUCUGGACAGAUACUGACGCUGAAGCUCGAAAGCGUGGGUAGCAAACAGG
Molecule: ribosomal RNA, 252 nt
Filed under: uncultured bacterium
Lineage: Bacteria
Description: partial 16S ribosomal RNA
Rfam family: Bacterial small subunit ribosomal RNA
Source: RNAcentral